CGAAGACGAGGCGGAAAUCUGCUCAUCUGAGAUCUUUCCUGAUUCCAUGCCAAACACAGUGUUGCAGUGGAAGCCUAGGGACGAGACACAAAGAAAGAUCAAAACAUCAAACGUCUGACUGACACAACUUCCUCUAAAAAUAUCACCCAGGGCUCCUGUAUUACUGAUGAGCCUUUUAUUUUUUUCUAAUGGAAUGUCCCGUGUGCAUGCGCCACCUCACCGGACUGGGAACUCGGCCCUGUGGUUACAGAGUCGGACGACCUGACGGACGACGGAAGCAGGAUGGAGACAGACGGAGUGGAAGAUCAGUUGUUCGCUGGCGUUGAAGUAAAAAUGUAUAAACUCUUAAAUUAACACAUCAAAUAAGUUCAGUUAGGAAGUGGGAAUGUAGGAAAAUAUCAGCUAACACAGGCUAAACUCAUCAGCUCUGGUAAUCUCAGACGUUAGCUAGCAUGAGAGCUCGUCGUUGCCGUGCUCAGGUGUUCUUGUGACUUCUGAGAUGCUUUUCUGCUCAGCACUACUGUGUAGAGUAGCUGUAAGACCUUCUCAAGCCAUUACUUCUUACACACCUGCAUGUGAUUCAGGGGUUUACUUUAACCCAGCGAGCUGCGCUAACGGUGUAAACUCACCGCUGUGAAACACACCAACAGGAACGGUGGGCGGAGCCAAACUCCUCCCUCUGGCAACCUGCAGACGUUUUCAGUGCAAGUGUUAAUCUGGUGUUUCGUGCUCAGGACGUCUUAUUACAUCACCGUCAGAGAUCUUCCUCGUUCUGAUUCGUUAUCGUUUCUAUAGCAACAACAUCCGUAAGGACUUGUGUUUCAGAACGCUAUAGUUUUGCUGUUGUUAUGGUAACGUUAAGAACGCUUGUAAUGUUCUAGACACACGUCUUUCAGGGAUGUUCCUCAACAUUGGACGUAACUAUAAACAGAUAAAAUUAAAAAAAAAAGCACAUUCUUUAAUUCAUGAAAAAUCCUGGAAGACUUUAAUUCCUCACGCCAGGAUUUGCACUUAAUCUCCGGAGUACAUUCACACCACAGAGAUUUUCUUAUCUCACCGAAUACGAAUUCGACUCUGAUUGAUUUAAUAAUCAGCGGACACUCGUUCCUUUACUCGCUUUACAACCAAUGAAGCCUCUUCAUCGGUUUCUCAUUCAUCACGAUAAAGAGCUUCUCAGCUUUCUAUCAGCUGGAGCUGUACAGGACUGAUCCCUGGAGUCGGUGCUCACUUUACACAAAGUAAUAGUUUAGAAAAUGGUUUUUUUUUUGUAC
Long non-coding RNA from Tachysurus vachellii, 1271 nucleotides. RefSeq lists it as uncharacterized. The record is from RefSeq and is a predicted model, not a curated record. NCBI's taxonomy places the organism in Eukaryota, Metazoa, Chordata, Actinopteri, Siluriformes, Bagridae. The transcript has 3 exons.